This 739-nucleotide ribosomal RNA is filed under the name uncultured bacterium. RNAcentral's name for it is "bacterial SSU rRNA". It matches the Rfam family "Bacterial small subunit ribosomal RNA", at positions 28 to 757 of the family's 1533-position model. The record is from RNAcentral.
GAUGAACGCUAGCUACCCGUUUAAGACAUGCAAGUCGAGGGGCAUCAGGAAGAAAGCUUCCUUUCUUUGCUGGCGACCGGCGCACGGGUGAGUAACACGUAUCCAACCUGCCCUUUACUCGGGGAUAGCCUUUCGAAAGAAAGAUUAAUACCCGAUAGCAUAAUGAUUCCGCAUGGUUUCAUUAUUAAAGGAUUCCGGUAAAGGAUGGGGAUGCGUUCCAUUAGGUUGUUGGUGAGGUAACGGCUCACCAAGCCUUCGAUGGAUAGGGGUUCUGAGAGGAAGGUCCCCCACAUUGGAACUGAGACACGGUCCAAACUCCUACGGGAGGCAGCAGUGAGGAAUAUUGGUCAAUGGGCGCUAGCCUGAACCAGCCAAGUAGCGUGAAGGAUGAAGGCUCUAUGGGUCGUAAACUUCUUUUAUAUAAGAAUAAAGUGCAGUAUGUAUACUGUUUUGUAUGUAUUAUAUGAAUAAGGAUCGGCUAACUCCGUGCCAGCAGCCGCGGUAAUACGGAGGAUCCGAGCGUUAUCCGGAUUUAUUGGGUUUAAAGGGAGCGUAGGUGGACUGGUAAGUCAGUUGUGAAAGUUUGCGGCUCAACCGUAAAAUUGCAGUUGAUACUGUCAGUCUUGAGUACAGUAGAGGUGGGCGGAAUUCGUGGUGUAGCGGUGAAAUGCUUAGAUAUCACGAAGAACUCCGAUUGCGAAGGCAGCUCACUGGACUGCAACUGACACUGAUGCUCGAA